This 299-nucleotide ribosomal RNA is filed under the name Megapachylus grandis. RNAcentral's name for it is "partial 16S ribosomal RNA". Lineage: Eukaryota; Metazoa; Arthropoda; Arachnida; Opiliones; Gonyleptidae. The record is from RNAcentral.
GCAUAAUCAAUAGUUUUUUAAUUGAAGACUGGAAUGAAGGGUUUAUACUAAAAAGAGGGUUUUAUUUAAUUAUUUUGAAUUUAAAUUAAGAGUAAAAAUGCUCUUAUAAAUUUUUGGGACGAGAAGACCCUAGAAGCUUUGAAUUAUUCAAUAGAUUUUUAGUUGGGGUAACAUUUGAAGAUACAAAUUUUUAAAUACAAAAAAUAAUAGAAAUUAAGUUACUCUAGGGAUAACAGCAUUAUUUAAUUAACAAGUUCUUAUUAAUAAUUGAAGUUUGUGACCUCGAUGUUGAAUUAAUU